AACACUGUUAACCUGCGGUACCUGCGGAGGGAUCAUUACCGAGUUUACAACUCCCAAACCCCUGUGAACAUACCAAUUGUUGCCUCGGCGGAUCAGCCCGCUCCCGGUAAAACGGGACGGCCCGCCAGAGGACCCCUAAACUCUGUUUCUAUAUGUAACUUCUGAGUAAAACCAUAAAUAAAUCAAAACUUUUAACAAUGGAUCU
This 205-nucleotide unclassified non-coding RNA is filed under the name soil metagenome. RNAcentral describes it as "partial contains 5.8S ribosomal RNA, internal transcribed spacer 2, and large subunit ribosomal RNA". The record is from RNAcentral.